AUCGAAAGCUGUUGUCUGAUUCGACUUCUUUACAGUUGAUUAGAAGCGUGUUGAGACUUGAGAGAAAGAGACGCCAUUGUUCUGAUUGUUGGAGUUUUGAAGUUAGGUGGGUUCCUUGGCAGAGAUGUCUUUCUAUUUAUGCUCUGAAGAGUUGUCUAUGACGAAUCUUGAAGCUUUAAGAUUUGGGUACCAUUCUGUCAACCACGCUGUCCACCACGCUGUCUUCACAUGAAGCUGAGUAACAUUGAACAUUACAAUGUUUUUACUGGCCCCCUUUUAAAAUAUGGAACUUUAGCCAUCCUAUUGUGUGGGCUGCAUGGAACUCAUUUACCUUUGCUGUGAACGUCGGUAUAAGACGCACAACAUUUAGAAUGAUGGAGUACCAAUGUUGAAGCAAGAACAGGAAACAGAAUCUGGAAUAAUUGGGUUAAGACCACCAUCUUCACUCACAAAUACUGAUUCAUUGUAAGAUCUAUGGCGAAGGAACUGACAGCCCGGAAGAAAUUGACGGUGGUGGAUUGGUGUGAAGAAACUAUUGCCGUGGAGUACCCUAAGAUAUGGUACUACUCGAGCAGCCCCUUCAAUUCGAACAGUUGAUUAGAGUUCUAGUUACGACGAAAUCUGAAAAGGCCUUUUAUCAAGAGCAACCAAUUGAGUCAGGUGGCUCCCACAACAUAGUUGAAAAAUGAACAUGAAGGCAACAGCCAAUCCUAUCUGGAAUUUUGCUAGAGAUACCUUUCAGACGGUCGUCAACGUUGAGGAAAAAGAAGAAUCUUAACCCAAAUUAGAGCCAGAAGAACCAUAUACUGCUGGUAUACCAACAGCCAACGGAACUUACUCCACACGCUCCAAGACUAGCAUUAUUGUGGCUUUCCAUUGUUGACUUACGAAUAAUGGUUCUGGCGGAGCCAUCAAGGAAGAAAGCAGUGGUACUUCCACCAAAUCAAAAUGUUCUUUCAAACCGACGUCAGGUAAUAGCAUCAGUCUUGCAGGGGACACUGACUGUAAUCAAUUGAUUGAUCCGGCAAAUGGCGGUUCUUUGCAUUAUUUCCAUCCGACUACGUGUCCAGUCGUUUCAACUGAAGAAUUUUUGCAGCGGAUGGUGGAAUAUAUGCGUAGAAUCUGGUUACAAAGUAUGAGGUCUGGAAGAAGAAAAGGUCGAAACAGAACCCACUGAAGAAGAAGAAAUGAACUGAGCUUUUCUCGGUUGGCCUGUGACGUUUCCCCUGACAAAACUUCUUUGAUUCUUCUCUAUGCCCACCUCUGCUUGGAUCUUGACGUCCAGCUAGAAGAUGCCGUUCGACUCCUUCAGCAAGUUGAAACGCUGCACGAUCAUCGACUAAUGGAAAAAUGCAUUCAGAAAUUAAACCAGAAAAAGUCUCUAGUCACAAAAAAAGUUAUUCACCUUCGAUCAUCAUCCGUUAAAUACGCGGUGGGACUUGUUAUGAUAUACCAACAUAGCGCUUGUAAGUCACCGUUACUGUGUGUAACCGACUCAUUGACACACCAUGAUCCAGACAAAAUAUUUUGUAACGUCCUUUUCGACGAUGGGGGAUUCUUCCUUCGUUGAUGAAGACAAGCAUAAUUUAAAAUUCGACACUGAUGUGUCGUUCGUCAGCAGCUAUCCGAAUAUCGGGCUUUCUUUUGAACGUUUCAACGGCCGCCGAUACAUCUCCAACGCUAAGAUGACCCUCUUCCCAGAGGAUGAAGGCUUUGCUCUUUCCCUGGUCGGAUAAAUAUGUAUUAUCUUAUCGUAUUAUGUAAUUGCCUGCCUUUUACGUACAUUAGCUGCUAAAUAGUGCCAAAUAGUUUCAUCAAAUUUUACGAGAAAUCAAAAAAUUAUUUAGGCCAUUCAGGUUGUUUUUCUUAAUUCAACCAAUGUACAACUUGUAUGUAAAUCAGGUUCUUGUUUCACUUUUUCAUUCAUCAUUUUGUAGCUUAAAUCCUGUGUUAUUUUGCAAACAAUUUUAACUUUCAAUUCACUUAGAAAUUCCAGACAGAACUCCCUCUAACCUCUGGGUAUCAAUCUGGGUCACCUCUAACCCCAAUUAAGAAGUAAAGGCUAGACUAUGAGAUAUUAUCAGUCCCCUGUGUUAGUUAGGUAGGUAAGGAAGGAAUCCAACAUAGAAGACUUUAAAACAUGAAGAAAAAUCUAAAAGA
This 2160-nucleotide long non-coding RNA is filed under the name Daphnia pulex (common water flea). RNAcentral's name for it is "uncharacterized LOC124195762, transcript variant X1". The record is from RNAcentral. Lineage: Eukaryota; Metazoa; Arthropoda; Branchiopoda; Diplostraca; Daphniidae.